This 253-nucleotide ribosomal RNA is filed under the name uncultured bacterium. RNAcentral describes it as "partial 16S ribosomal RNA". It matches the Rfam family "Bacterial small subunit ribosomal RNA", at positions 524 to 776 of the family's 1533-position model. The record is from RNAcentral.
UACGGAGGGUGCGAGCGUUGUCCGGAAUCACUGGGCGUAAAGGGCGCGUAGGCGGCCUGAUAAGUAGGGGGUGAAAUCUUGCGGCUUAACCGCAAGGCUGCCUUCUAAACUGUCGGGCUAGAGCACAGUAGAGGCAGGUGGAAUUCCCGGUGUAGCGGUGAAAUGCGCAGAUAUCGGGAGGAACACCAGUGGCGAAGGCGGCGACCUGGGCCAAUAUUGACGCUGAGGUGCGAAAGCGUGGGGAGCAAACAGG